GCCCCGUUAGUGCAGUGGUCAAGCACCCGGCCCUUUCGAGGCCGUAACCCGGGUUCGAAUCCCGGACGGGGCA
RNAcentral lists this transfer RNA (73 nucleotides) under Candidatus Pacearchaeota archaeon. Its description in RNAcentral is "tRNA-Glu". It matches the Rfam family "tRNA". Rfam says of the family: Transfer RNA (tRNA) molecules are approximately 80 nucleotides in length. Their secondary structure includes four short double-helical elements and three loops (D, anti-codon, and T loops). The record is from RNAcentral. Lineage: Archaea; Nanobdellati.